GCCGGACGUGGUGGCGGGCGCCUGUAAUGCCAGCUACUUGGGAGGCUGAGGCAGGAGAAUCGCUUGAACCCGGGAGGUGGAGGUUGCAGUGAGCCAAGAUCACGCCACUGCACUCCAGCCUGGGCAACAGAGUGAGACUCCGUCUCAAAAAAAAAAAAAUUUAAUUUCUUUUGAGACAGGGUCUCGCUCUGUUGCCCAGGCUGGAGUGCAGUGGUGCCAUCAUGGUUCACUGCAACCUUGACCACCUGGGCUCAAGCGAUCCUCCCACCUCAU
This is an unclassified non-coding RNA of Homo sapiens (human), 273 nucleotides long. The record is from Ensembl. NCBI's taxonomy places the organism in Eukaryota, Metazoa, Chordata, Mammalia, Primates, Hominidae.